AUGAUACUCCAUCCGUCCCAAAAUUCUUGUCUUUAAGUUUGUCUAAAAAUGAAUAUAUCUAAAUACUAAAACGUGACUAGAUACAUUCAUAUCGAAGACAAGUAUUUUGGGACGGAGGGAGUACUAC
Non-coding RNA from Hordeum vulgare subsp. vulgare (domesticated barley), 127 nucleotides. The record is from Rfam. NCBI's taxonomy places the organism in Eukaryota, Viridiplantae, Streptophyta, Magnoliopsida, Poales, Poaceae.